AUCCAAUUGAUGAGUCCAAAAUAGGACGAAGUGUCGCACAUUCUGGAU
Molecule: non-coding RNA, 48 nt
Filed under: Schistosoma haematobium
Lineage: Eukaryota; Metazoa; Platyhelminthes; Trematoda; Strigeidida; Schistosomatidae
Source: RNAcentral